GUGGGGAAUAUUGGACAAUGGGCGAAAGCCUGAUCCAGCCAUGCCGCGUGUGUGAAGAAGGUCUUCGGAUUGUAAAGCACUUUAAGUUGGGAGGAAGGGCAGUAGUUAAUACCUUGCUGUUUUGACGUUACCGACAGAAUAAGCACCGGCUAACUUCGUGCCAGCAGCCGCGGUAAUACGAAGGGUGCCAGCGUUAAUCGGAAUUACUGGGCGUAAAGCGCGCGUAGGUGGUUUUGUAAGUUGGAGGUGAAAUCCCCGGGCUCAACCUGGGAACUGCCUCCAAAACUGCAUGACUAGAGUACGGUAGAGGGUAGUGGAAUUUCCUGUGUAGCGGUGAAAUGCGUAGAUAUAGGAAGGAACACCAGUGGCGAAGGCGACUACCUGGACUGAUACUGACACUGAGGUGCGAAAGCGUGGGGAGCAAACAGGAUUAGAAACCCUGGUAGUCC
Molecule: ribosomal RNA, 449 nt
Filed under: uncultured bacterium
Lineage: Bacteria
Description: partial 16S ribosomal RNA
Rfam family: Bacterial small subunit ribosomal RNA
Source: RNAcentral